GGAUGUUGGCUUAGAAGCAGCCAUCAUUUAAAGAAAGCGUAAUAGCUCACUGGUCGAGUCGGCCUGCGCGGAAGAUGUAACGGGGCUAAACCAUGCACCGAAGCUGCGGCAGCGACACUUAUGCGUUGUUGGGUAGGGGAGCGUUCUGUAAGCCUGUGAAGGUGUACUGUGAGGUAUGCUGGAGGUAUCAGAAGUGCGAAUGCUGACAUAAGUAACGAUAAAGCGGGUGAAAAGCCCGCUCGCCGGAAGACCAAGGGUUCCUGUCCAACGUUAAUCGGGGCAGGGUGAGUCGACCCCUAAGGCGAGGCCGAAAGGCGUAGUCGAUGGGAAACAGGUUAAUAUUCCUGUACUUGGUGUUACUGCGAAGGGGGGACGGAGAAGGCUAUGUUGGCCGGGCGACGGUUGUCCCGGUUUAAGCGUGUAGGCUGGUUUUCCAGGCAAAUCCGGAAAAUCAAGGCUGAGGCGUGAUGACGAGGCACUACGGUGCUGAAGCAACAAAUGCCCUGCUUCCAGGAAAAGCCUCUAAGCAUCAGGUAACAUCAAAUCGUACCCCAAACCGACACAGGUGGUCAGGUAGAGAAUACCAAGGCGCUUGAGAGAACUCGGGUGAAGGAACUAGGCAAAAUGGUGCCGUAACUUCGGGAGAAGGCACGCUGAUAUGUAGGUGAAGCGACUUGCUCGUGGAGCUGAAAUCAGUCGAAGAUACCAGCUGGCUGCAACUGUUUAUUAAAAACACAGCACUGUGCAAACACGAAAGUGGACGUAUACGGUGUGACGCCUGCCCGGUGCCGGAAGGUUAAUUGAUGGGGUUAGCGGUAACGCGAAGCUCUUGAUCGAAGCCCCGGUAAACGGCGGCCGUAACUAUAACGGUCCUAAGGUAGCGAAAUUCCUUGUCGGGUAAGUUCCGACCUGCACGAAUGGCGUAAUGAUGGCCAGGCUGUCUCCACCCGAGACUCAGUGAAAUUGAACUCGCUGUGAAGAUGCAGUGUACCCGCGGCAAGACGGAAAGACCCCGUGAACCUUUACUAUAGCUUGACACUGAACAUUGAGCCUUGAUGUGUAGGAUAGGUGGGAGGCUUUGAAGUGUGGACGCCAGUCUGCAUGGAGCCGACCUUGAAAUACCACCCUUUAAUGUUUGAUGUUCUAACGUGGGCCCCUUACCGGGGUUGCGGACAGUGUCUGGUGGGUAGUUUGACUGGGGCGGUCUCCUCCUAAAGAGUAACGGAGGAGCACGAAGGUUGGCUAAUCCUGGUCGGACAUCAGGAGGUUAGUGCAAUGGCAUAAGCCAGCUUGACUGCGAGCGUGACGGCGCGAGCAGGUGCGAAAGCAGGUCAUAGUGAUCCGGUGGUUCUGAAUGGAAGGGCCAUCGCUCAACGGAUAAAAGGUACUCCGGGGAUAACAGGCUGAUACCGCCCAAGAGUUCAUAUCGACGGCGGUGUUUGGCACCUCGAUGUCGGCUCAUCACAUCCUGGGGCUGAAGUAGGUCCCAAGGGUAUGGCUGUUCGCCAUUUAAAGUGGUACGCGAGCUGGGUUUAGAACGUCGUGAGACAGUUCGGUCCCUAUCUGCCGUGGGCGCUGGAGAACUGAGGGGGGCUGCUCCUAGUACGAGAGGACCGGAGUGGACGCAUCACUGGUGUUCGGGUUGUCAUGCCAAUGGCACUGCCCGGUAGCUAAAUGCGGAAGAGAUAAGUGCUGAAAGCAUCUAAGCACGAAACUUGCCCCGAGAUGAGUUCUCCCUGACUCCUUGAGAGUCCUGAAGGAACGUUGAAGACGACGACGUUGAUAGGCCGGGUGUGUAAGCGCAGCGAUGCGUUGAGCUAACCGGUACUAAUGAACCGUGAGGCUUAACCUU
RNAcentral lists this ribosomal RNA (1852 nucleotides) under Escherichia coli. Its description in RNAcentral is "23S ribosomal RNA". It matches the Rfam family "Bacterial large subunit ribosomal RNA", at positions 1096 to 2925 of the family's 2925-position model. The record is from RNAcentral. Lineage: Bacteria; Pseudomonadati; Pseudomonadota; Gammaproteobacteria; Enterobacterales; Enterobacteriaceae.